UACGAAGGGGCUAGCGUUGCUCGGAAUCACUGGGCGUAAAGCGCACGUAGGCGGAUCUUUAAGUCAGGGGUGAAAUCCUGGAGCUCAACUCCAGAACUGCCUUUGAUACUGGAGAUCUCGAGUCCGGAAGAGGUGAGUGGAACUCCGAGUGUAGAGGUGAAAUUCGUAGAUAUUCGGAAGAACACCAGUGGCGAAGGCGGCUCACUGGUCCGGUACUGACGCUGAGGUGCGAAAGCGUGGGGAGCAACAGGAU
RNAcentral lists this ribosomal RNA (253 nucleotides) under uncultured bacterium. RNAcentral describes it as "partial 16S ribosomal RNA". It matches the Rfam family "Bacterial small subunit ribosomal RNA", at positions 524 to 778 of the family's 1533-position model. The record is from RNAcentral.